This 457-nucleotide ribosomal RNA is filed under the name uncultured bacterium. Its description in RNAcentral is "partial 16S ribosomal RNA". It matches the Rfam family "Bacterial small subunit ribosomal RNA", at positions 338 to 795 of the family's 1533-position model. The record is from RNAcentral.
CCUACGGGUGGCAGCAGUGGGGAAUAUUGCACAAUGGGGGAAACCCUGAUGCAGCGACGCCGCGUGAGUGAAGAAGUAUUUCGGUAUGUAAAGCUCUAUCAGCAGGGAAGAAACCCACUCUCCGGGGUGGCUGACGGUACCUGACUAAGAAGCCCCGGCUAACGACGUGCCAGCAGCCGCGGUAAUACGUAGGGGGAAAGCGUUAUCCGGAGUUACUGGGGGUAAAGGGUGCGUUGGUGGGAAGGCAAGUCAGAUGUGAAAACCCGGGGGCCAACCCCGGGAGUGCAAUUGAAACUGUCUGGCUAGAGUGCAGAGGAGGUAAGUGGAAUUCCUAGAGUAGCGGUGAAAUGCAUAGAUAUUAGGAGGAACACCAGUAGCGAAGGCAGCUUACUGGACUGUAACUGACACUGAGGCUCGAGAGCAUGGGGAGCAAACAGGAUUAGAUACCCCUGUAGUC